AAAAAAGAAGGAAAUGGUCCCAGAAUAGUUUGGCUUUCAGAGAAGCCCAAGAAUCAAUGGCACCAGAGACACAGGAUCAUGAGGGAGUGGGCCAAGAAGGGGCUGUGGAAAAGCUGGUGAUGCUCUUUACUUCUGACUUGAAAAUCCUCGCUGCUCUUGAUGAGGAGGAGCCACGUGGCCGUGGGGUCUUUCAGCCUACAUUUUUUUCAAGUCUCACCCAGUUGUGGGGCAAAGGAACCUUGGUGGAGGAUUUGGGCGUUUUGUCAUGUGAUGCAGAACCACAAGAGGAGAAAGAUCCAGCGGAGGGACCUAGGAUCUAGAAAGCUACAAGAGAAGAGCUGGAGUUGGCUGAAGGAGAGAAGACCAAGAAAUAAGGAUAGUUUCCUAUGUGUCAGAGGUCUCUGUGUCGGGGGGGCACAUCGAACUGUUGUCCUCAGCUUUGAAGUCUCCCUGUGACUGCCCAGCGCCAUAGCCCUGCCUGCCGGGUUAACCUGCCUGCCCAGACGCUGCCCAGCUGCUGUGUUCUCUCCGACAGGAAAGGAUUUGAGAUGGAAGGACAAGGAAGAAUAGCCCUGAGCUAACAUCUGUGCCCAUCUUCCUCUACUUUACAUGUGAGACACCUACCACAGCAUGGCUUGUCAAGCCGUGCCAUGUCCACACCUGGGAUCCGAACCAGUGAACCCCAGGCCGCUGAAGUGGAACCUGCACACUUAACCGCUGCGCCACUGGGCCGGCCCGAGGAGAGAUCAUUUCCAUCUUGACAAACUGGAGUUAGGAAUUGGAGUUAGACCACUUCCAGUGAAUCCUUUGCAUUUUACUUUGAAAUAUGUUCUACUGAGUACUUUUGUGUUCAGGCAGACCAAUGAUUUUUGCGCAUACCUGAUAAAAUAUAUAUGUGUCCACAAGGGGGCUUCAUUUUCUUACUUUUCAACUUUUGCUUUCAAUAAUACUGUACGUUUUGUUUUGAUGGUAUUUUUUAUACCAAAAAUAGAAACACUUGCUUGUUUCUGAUAAACACUUGUCAUCAGUAAAAAGAGAGCUAGGGACAGUAGAAGAAUUAGGGGAGCACAGUCUGAAAUGAUGACUGACAGAGCAGAAGGGUCGAAGAGUGGGGUAGUGAAUUCAUGAAUAUUUCACACUCCCUCCUAUGGAACUCAAAACAACAGUCUGGGUUUUUAGAUGGAUAAUAAUUAAGAUUAUACUGG
This 1205-nucleotide long non-coding RNA is filed under the name Equus asinus (donkey). RNAcentral describes it as "lncRNA (ENSEASG00005033565.1)". Lineage: Eukaryota; Metazoa; Chordata; Mammalia; Perissodactyla; Equidae. The record is from RNAcentral.